AGUGGCGGACGGGUGAGUAACGCGUGAGAAUCUGCCCAUAGGACGGGGACAACAGAGGGAAACUUCUGCUAAUACCGGAUGAGCCGAGAGGUAAAACAUUUAUGGCCUAUGGAGGAGCUCGCGACUGAUUAGCUAGUUGGUGGGGUAAGGGCCUACCAAGGCAAUGAUCAGUAGCUGGUCUGAGAGGAUGAUCAGCCACACUGGGACUGAGACACGGCCCAGACUCCUACGGGAGGCAGCAGUGGGGAAUUUUCCGCAAUGGGGGGAACCCUGACGGAGCAACGCCGCGUGAGGGAAGAAUGGUUGUGGUCAGUAAACCUCUUUUAAUAGGGAAGAAUAAUGACGGUACCUAUUGAAUAAGCAUCGGCUAACUCCGUGCCAGCAGCCGCGGUAAUACGGAGGAUGCAAGCGU
This 412-nucleotide ribosomal RNA is filed under the name uncultured bacterium. RNAcentral describes it as "bacterial SSU rRNA". It matches the Rfam family "Bacterial small subunit ribosomal RNA", at positions 94 to 541 of the family's 1533-position model. The record is from RNAcentral.